Sander lucioperca (pikeperch) is the source of this 147-nucleotide long non-coding RNA. RefSeq lists it as uncharacterized. The transcript has 3 exons. NCBI's taxonomy places the organism in Eukaryota, Metazoa, Chordata, Actinopteri, Perciformes, Percidae. The record is from RefSeq and is a predicted model, not a curated record.
AUUAUCACAUCUUUCUCAUACAUGAAAAUCACUCACCUUUCGGCGAAAUUCGCCGUUUUGAAACCAAAAUAGGUGACCUACGUGAAUCGUGUAGAUUCGAUGAGAAAAUGUUUGGGGGGGGGGUGGGGGUAGGUACCAGCGAUUCAG